This is a long non-coding RNA of Ornithorhynchus anatinus (platypus), 1049 nucleotides long. RefSeq lists it as uncharacterized. The transcript is spliced from 3 exons. NCBI's taxonomy places the organism in Eukaryota, Metazoa, Chordata, Mammalia, Monotremata, Ornithorhynchidae. The record is from RefSeq and is a predicted model, not a curated record.
GCCUGGAUUAGAACUCAUGACCUCUGACUCCCAAGCUUGUGAUCUUUCCACUGAGCCACGCUGCUCCUGGCAAACCAGGUGCAUUUGAAGCACGGCCCAUUGUGAAUGGAGUUAAUGUAUCUGUGCAGCCCCUCAAGGUCGCACCUGGAGAGUUUUCAGCACCUGUCUCAUCUACAAGAGGAAGAAUCAAGCGGAGGCAUAGCCAUUCCAUUCCUAACUUGGGCAGUGGCCAGAGAGUGGAAGGCAAUCUGCUAUAAGUCAAAACUCACCUGUUCUGGACAAUGGGCAAAAAGGAGAAUCGCUGGUUUGGACAAAGUGACUGUCCUGAAGACCCUGGCACCAAAGGAACUCCCUUAAAGUGUCCAGUACAUAGUCAGCCGGGCUGUGCUUUCGGAAGAAUUUGACUGGAGGGUGAGAAUGGAGCUACUGGGCCUCACCCCGGAAGCAGAUUGUGUUUCUGCCACUGGAUGGAAGAACCCCCUGAGAGCGUAUGUAUGCGUGCAUGUCGCCUCUGUGCAUGCACAUUUGUGCGUGUCUGUGUACGUGCAUGUGUGUGGGAAUAUGUGUGUGCCUCUGUGAGUGAACAAACAGGUUUAUGCAUUUCAGAGUGUUCAUCUAUGAGUGUGCUUGUGAGUACGAGUGGGCGUGUGUGUACGCGGAGUUCCUCGUGGGCAGGACGUGUGUUAGUCAACUCUGCCCUACUGUUCUCUCCCAAGCACCUAGUACAGUGCUUGGAACACAGUAGGUGCUCAGUAAAUACCAUUGAUUGAUUGUAGGGGUGGAAAUGGGUGUAGACAUGAGUGCGGGUGUGUUUGCACGCUUUGGUAUUCAAGGUGUUCUUAAAGUUCUUGGACAACUUUUAAAUCUAGAUAACUUUUAACAUAAAAAGAACCGUUAAAUGGCUCAUAACGGCAUAACUCAUAAUAUUUUACUGCGAUAUCGAUUUACUUCCUCCCGCUGCCCCGACCGAGUUUAGUUCUGCUUCUCUUCUGCCGUCGCCCCAUGCACGAGCCAGAGAGCCGAAAUAAAAAUACAGCAUUUAAAGUCAA